UGGGAUGUAGCCAAGAGGUUACGGCACCGGUCUCUGAAACCGGCAUCGAUGGUUCGAAUCCAUCCAUCCCAGCCA
This 75-nucleotide transfer RNA is filed under the name Agathobaculum butyriciproducens. Its description in RNAcentral is "tRNA-Gln". It matches the Rfam family "tRNA". From Rfam's summary of the family: Transfer RNA (tRNA) molecules are approximately 80 nucleotides in length. Their secondary structure includes four short double-helical elements and three loops (D, anti-codon, and T loops). Further hydrogen bonds mediate the characteristic L-shaped molecular structure. tRNAs have two regions of fundamental functional importance: the anti-codon, which is responsible for specific mRNA codon recognition, and the 3' end, to which the tRNAs corresponding amino acid is attached (by aminoacyl-tRNA synthetases). tRNAs cope with the degeneracy of the genetic code in two manners: having more than one tRNA (with a specific anti-codon) for a particular amino acid; and 'wobble' base-pairing, i.e. permitting non-standard base-pairing at the 3rd anti-codon position. The record is from RNAcentral. Lineage: Bacteria; Bacillati; Bacillota; Clostridia; Eubacteriales; Butyricicoccaceae.